Molecule: long non-coding RNA, 333 nt
Organism: Zalophus californianus (California sea lion)
Lineage: Eukaryota; Metazoa; Chordata; Mammalia; Carnivora; Otariidae
Exons: 3
Source: RefSeq, a predicted model, not a curated record
AAGAACUGCCUUACUUGAAGAAUGUUGUUCAGAAGGGGAGACACGCAAUAAAUAUAAGAUGAAGUUAGGAGAGAAGCUAUUCAUAGCUAAAACUCUAGCUAAAAUGGCUAUUAUUUAUUGCACGGAACUGAAAUCGGAUGAAGUUGAGAAACCCAACAUACAAACCCAGAAGCCAAGAUACUACACAAGCGGACAUAUUUCAAGGACAAAUCCAAAGACACUUGCCAACAGCAAAAAAGUAUCAGCUUACAGUGUUCGAGGAGCUUGAAAAGGAACCAAAACCAGAUGGAAGAUCACAAAAUGCACAGCAGCCUGGGGUCUUUAAGACAAGAC